This 75-nucleotide transfer RNA is filed under the name Fasciola gigantica. Its description in RNAcentral is "tRNA-Thr". The record is from RNAcentral. Lineage: Eukaryota; Metazoa; Platyhelminthes; Trematoda; Plagiorchiida; Fasciolidae.
ACCGCGAUAGCUCAGUCUGUUAGAGCAUCUGCCCGGUAUAUCGGAGGGUCGCCGGAUUCGAUCCGGCUCGCGGCG